This 413-nucleotide ribosomal RNA is filed under the name Klebsiella pneumoniae. Its description in RNAcentral is "partial 23S ribosomal RNA". It matches the Rfam family "Bacterial large subunit ribosomal RNA", at positions 827 to 1238 of the family's 2925-position model. The record is from RNAcentral. Lineage: Bacteria; Pseudomonadati; Pseudomonadota; Gammaproteobacteria; Enterobacterales; Enterobacteriaceae.
GGCCAAUCAAACCGGGAGAUAGCUGGUUCUCCCCGAAAGCUAUUUAGGUAGCGCCUCGUGAACUCAUCUUCGGGGGUAGAGCACUGUUUCGGCUAGGGGGUCAUCCCGACUUACCAACCCGAUGCAAACUACGAAUACCGAAGAAUGUUAUCACGGGAGACACACGGCGGGUGCUAACGUCCGUCGUGAAGAGGGAAACAACCCAGACCGCCAGCUAAGGUCCCAAAGUCAUGGUUAAGUGGGAAACGAUGUGGGAAGGCACAGACAGCCAGGAUGUUGGCUUAGAAGCAGCCAUCAUUUAAAGAAAGCGUAAUAGCUCACUGGUCGAGUCGGCCUGCGCGGAAGAUGUAACGGGGCUAAACCAUGCACCGAAGCUGCGGCAGCGACACUAUGUGUUGUUGGGUAGGGGAGCG